UGGCUUAGAUGGUAAAGAAUCUGCCUGCAAUGCAGGAGACCCAGGUUCAAUUCCCUGG
RNAcentral lists this transfer RNA (58 nucleotides) under Bos taurus (domestic cattle). It matches the Rfam family "tRNA", at positions 8 to 63 of the family's 71-position model. Rfam says of the family: Transfer RNA (tRNA) molecules are approximately 80 nucleotides in length. Their secondary structure includes four short double-helical elements and three loops (D, anti-codon, and T loops). Lineage: Eukaryota; Metazoa; Chordata; Mammalia; Artiodactyla; Bovidae. RNAcentral also lists the same sequence under 4 other names. The record is from Rfam by way of RNAcentral.